This 1699-nucleotide long non-coding RNA is filed under the name Gallus gallus (chicken). The record is from RNAcentral. Lineage: Eukaryota; Metazoa; Chordata; Aves; Galliformes; Phasianidae.
GGGUAUAAAAAAAAUUUAUGUAGUAAUACCAAUUCAGCACACAAAUUCCAUGCUUCACAAGUUCUGCUGCUGUGUAAGAGUUGUCCUAACACCUAUGCAGAUAAGUACAGACGUUUAGGUCACUGCAUGCCCAGGUCAAAACAGCAGCAAAAUAUCUACCACUACAAGCAGCUAUACCCAAUUGUGCCUUUAGAAUGCUAACUGCACAGAAAUCCAGAUGAUGAGUGGCCGGAACUGGGCUGGACACACAAACCCGAGUCUGUGUGUGCAACAGAGAACAAAGUCACAGAGAAGAAAAACAUAUACAGAUUCUGAUACUGGAUACAAUCAAGACAAAUUAAGUCACUAGACAUUCAGAUUACGGAGAGGGGAAAAUAUCCUUCCAAGUGUACAGAUGACAAGCCAGCGUUUAAAAGAACUCUAAAGGCACAUUUCAGGUAACAUGGUUCUGUUAAGACCAACUGCUUACACACGCAGGCACAAAUCUUAAUGGCUCCCCCAACAAUUAUUUAACAAAAAAGCGAAGUGCAUUUUCAGUAAUAUUAACACCAUUCAGUUAAACUGUUCAGUCCGAAUGUUUAGCAGUUUUUCCUUAUGCUGAUACGGACUCCGCACUACUCCAAUCCAAGAAAACCCAACAGGCAGGAUUAGUAAAGGUUCAGUUGUUGCACUAGUUAACAUUUACUCAUCAGAGCCCACUGAUCUCUUCUGUGCCCUCUUGCGGGGCAACCUCCUUGGUGAAGCUUUAUUUAUUUGAUUUAAAGUUUCCUGGGGAAUCCAGCUCAUAUCAACGUCAUUCUGAUUUGAUGUUCCCAUCUCAACUUUCUGUACUGGUCUUUUUCUCUUCCUAGAUUCUAGUAAUUGAUGUAGGCCAACAAUAACAAGUAGACCAAGUCCAGCAAGGAACAUGUACAUGAAGAUCGUUUCUCCAUCUAAUCCAUCUUCUUUUUCAAUAAUUGUAACCGUUUGAUUGAAGACAGCAUCUUGAAACAUAUUACCAUUUGCAUCUCUGUAGUUGAGAUUGAUAACUAAUCCAAAAGGACGGCCACCCAUAGGCUCAGCAGGGAUGAAAGAGUACUCAAAUGUAGCUUGUCUCUGCGGUGGAACUACUGUAUUCAGGGGGAGAGCUGUGAAGUUCUGGAUAUAAAACUGAUAGUCUUGAGGGUACCGGAACGAAGCAUCGAGAGACUCAACAAUGAAGUCUUCUGUACCCUUAUUGGUGAAGCCUACCAGGAAUUUCACAAUGUUGUUUGCUGGAAAAUCUUCACCUUUGACAAAUAAUAUUGUUGUAUCAGCGCUAGGUGAGGCUUUAGGUUCUCCUGACAAGUCUUCUUCCUCUUUUUCUUCUGUCAAGUCUGUAGGCUCAUCUUCUUCAACUUCAGCUUCAUCAUCUUCGUCUUCAACUACAGUAUCUUCCACAGUUUCCUCAUCUUCUGUAGCAUCCUGAGCUGCAACUAAUAAGCCUGAACCUGUGCCGCUGCCCCGGAGCAGCAAGGCGGCGGGAAAGACAAGCAGGGCGAGCAGCAGCAAACGCGGCACGCUCCUCAUGGUGGCGGCAGGCCGGCAGCCCCGCGCCUUGCGCUGCGGGCGCUCUAAAUGGCGGCCGCCUCCAUCCGGGACCGCCCCGCCCCGCGCCGCAGCGGACGUGGCUCCGCCGAGGAGGAGCGGCACGGUCACGUGGGCUUAGCACACGUCGUCC